Molecule: long non-coding RNA, 466 nt
Organism: Bos indicus x Bos taurus (hybrid cattle)
Lineage: Eukaryota; Metazoa; Chordata; Mammalia; Artiodactyla; Bovidae
Source: Ensembl
GAACAGGCCUGGGAAGUUGUCCAGAGUAGGACUCUGCCUGCUCAGAGGCCAGGCAGACAUCCAAGGGCUUCAGUGCUGGGCACAGCCCGCAUCUGCUGAGUCACUGUGGACACGACACUGGAGCAGGGGUGAGAGUGUCAGAUCGGGCCCCGGGUGUCUUGACGGCUGAUGGAGAGGAGGAGUCUGUCUCAAGAGAGAAUGUCUUGUGGCCUUUUUUGCACCUUCUCCCAGGGUAUGUAUGAUUGGCAAGGAUGACACCCAAUUGGAGCCUCAUGACUUCAUUAGAGGCAGAUUGAAUAGCAAGCCUUUCCUUGUUCUCUAGUCACAAUAUAUUAAUAUAUUUGACUUGCCUACUUGUUUAUUUUUUAUUUCUCACUGACUAGAAUGUCAGUUUCCCUUGGACAGGAUUUUUUUUUUCUAUUUUGUAUGUUACUAUAUUCUUAGAGCCCAGACUAGUAAAUGCUUG